RNAcentral lists this long non-coding RNA (409 nucleotides) under Malus domestica (apple). RNAcentral's name for it is "long non-coding RNA (MDOM_LNC018008)". The record is from RNAcentral. Lineage: Eukaryota; Viridiplantae; Streptophyta; Magnoliopsida; Rosales; Rosaceae.
CGGACGGUACCUCCGUUUAAGCUUGACUAGGUGCCACGGCAUGGAGGGGUACAUCCUCCAUGACAUGCUUUGUAUGCUCCACUCCAAUACCCUUUUCGAUGAUGCAUCUAGGGACAUCCUUCUUGAUUGGUGCGCAUGAAUGUUCCUUCCCUACAUGUUUAAUCACAUCUAUUGCAAAACAAGAACGAACAUCAUGAGGAUUCUUAACAUAUUCAGGAACUUUGAAUUUAAUCAAUUCAUCACCAAACUCCAUCGUUAACUCUCCCUUAGCCACAUCAAUCUUGGUUUGGGCUGUCUUCAUGAAGGGCCGCCCUAAUAGUAUCGGCAAUGGGGUAGAAUAGGGUGAAUCCUCCAUGUCAAGCACGUAAAAGUCCGCUGGAAAAAUCAAAUUGCCCACCUGCACCAACAC